This is a long non-coding RNA of Erinaceus europaeus (western European hedgehog), 1392 nucleotides long. RefSeq lists it as uncharacterized. Lineage: Eukaryota; Metazoa; Chordata; Mammalia; Eulipotyphla; Erinaceidae. The record is from RefSeq and is a predicted model, not a curated record. The transcript is spliced from 4 exons.
CACUGGAGUCAGUGCCUUUGGGAAAGGAAGCUGGGAGGAAGGAGAAAAGUCAAAGACAGGACAGCAGGUGACAGGAGUGAGCCUGACCUCACCAUUCAAGUGGAACUGCCCCUUGGAGUUGGAACUAACCUUUGCUUCUACUAGAAGAGCUUUUAGAAGAAAUCUGAGAGUAAAGAAGAGAUAAAGUCUUUUCUACUUGCUGCACUUAUUGAAUCACUGGAGACUAUUGUGUACUUUGACUUUAAGUGUGAAUCCUCUCCUGACCUUCUAGAUGCUACUUACAUUCUGAUCCUAAAAUCUAAGUAGUUUCUGUUUGUUGUUCCUGAGGAUUUUGAAUACAUGGUUUUUGCUGAGCCAGUGGGCUGAGAACAGCAGACAGAAAGUGGUGAAGGAAAAGUGUGUAAAUACCAGUAAGGAGACUACCUUGGGAAUAGAAGGAAAUUGUCAUUGGCACAGUAACCUUAAAGAUGGACGUCUAUUAACUUCUGAGUAAAUGAACCAACUGGUUUGAGAACAAGGAAAUGGGCUGCAUGCAGAGUCUUUUGUGCAGCAAGGAGACUGACAGAGGGAACUUUUUGCUGGUGGUUUUCUUCCAUGCUUGAUCUCAGGUAGAGAGAGACUGACAGAAAGAUCAUGCCAUCCAGACUCCCACUUUUCCAUAAGAGGUCCCACACCACUGCUCAACCAUGCCUCACAAUUUCCCCAUACUAGUGGUUUGUAUUGUGUGGAAAACUGAGAAACGCAAUGCAUGUACAAACUAUUGUAUUUACUGUUGACUGUAAAACAUUAAUCCCCCAAUAAAGAAAUAAUAAAAAAAGAAGAAUGUGAAGAACCUUGACCUCUCUCCUUUAGAAGAAGAAAUCAUUUCCAAAUAUCAGUUCUUUCCUUCCUGAACCCUGUUGCAGAUUUGGGUCAUGAUGAAGUAGAAUCUGAGUACUCUGAAUAGAAGUACUCCAGGGACCAAUUUAUACUGGAGCAAAGGGAAAAAAAUAAGAGUGGUAGCUCUUCUGUGGCAUUGCAUAUCCAACAAGUCUUUGCCAAUGUCCUUCACAAUUGACCUGAAUUAGGCAAGAAGGCCUCUCCAACUGUGAGCACCCCUGGGAGUGGUAUAGUCAUGCUUAAGGCAAAUCUCAACAUUCAGGAAAUUUCUGAAAGGUAGGAAGGUGGGAAGGAAGGAACAUGCGGAAGACUCUAUCAAAAAGCAAUGAGUAGGAUAUAUAUAAUUUUUUUUUGGCAGGGGUGUCCAGAUAGAACAGGGAUGGGUAACAUCUGACCCAUGAGACAUGUAAAGUUUGCAGAAUCAUUUGAUCUGGCCCUGCUAAGGCAACCAUGGGGGGGGGGGCACAUCAAAUAAAUAUAAAUUUUAAAUUUAUUCUAUAUAUGGCCUGUGAA